Molecule: ribosomal RNA, 468 nt
Filed under: uncultured bacterium
Lineage: Bacteria
Description: partial 16S ribosomal RNA
Rfam family: Bacterial small subunit ribosomal RNA
Source: RNAcentral
GACGAACGCUGGCGGCGUGCUUAACACAUGCAAGUCGAACGGAAAGGCCCUGCUUUUGUUGGGUGCUCGAGUGGCGAACGGGUGAGUAACACGUGAGUAACCUGCCCUUGACUGUGGGAUAACUUCAGGAGACUGGGGCUAAUACCGGAUAUGAGCUCCUGCUGCAUGGUGGGCGUUGGAAAGUUUCGGCGGUUGUGGAUGGACUCGAGGCUUAUCAGCUUGUUGGUGGGGUAGGUGCUUUCCAAGGCUUUGACGGCUAGCCGGCCUGAGAGGGUGACCGGCGACAUUGGGACUGCGGUACGGCCCAGAAUGGUACGGUAGGCAGAAGUGGGAAAUAUUGCACAACGGGGGGAAGCGUGAUGCAGAAACGUUGCGUGCGGGAUGACGUCCUUCGGGUUAUAAACCGCUUUCGAAUGUGACGAAGCGUGCGUGACGGUAACGGGUAAAGAAGCACCGGCUAACUACGUG